RNAcentral lists this non-coding RNA (23 nucleotides) under Arabidopsis thaliana (thale cress). The record is from RNAcentral. Lineage: Eukaryota; Viridiplantae; Streptophyta; Magnoliopsida; Brassicales; Brassicaceae.
UCUUAGCUAAAGCGGAAAGAUGG